This 568-nucleotide ribosomal RNA is filed under the name Aspergillus fumigatus. RNAcentral's name for it is "eukaryotic LSU rRNA". The stretch from base 185 to 338 matches the Rfam family "5.8S ribosomal RNA". The record is from RNAcentral. Lineage: Eukaryota; Fungi; Ascomycota; Eurotiomycetes; Eurotiales; Aspergillaceae.
CAAGGAGGGGGGGCCUCUGGGUCACCUCCCACCCGUGUCUAUCGUACCUUGUUGCUUCGGCGGGCCCGCCGUUUCGACGGCCGCCGGGGAGGCCUUGCGCCCCCGGGCCCGCGCCCGCCGAAGACCCCAACAUGAACGCUGUUCUGAAAGUAUGCAGUCUGAGUUGAUUAUCGUAAUCAGUUAAAACUUUCAACAACGGAUCUCUUGGUUCCGGCAUCGAUGAAGAACGCAGCGAAAUGCGAUAAGUAAUGUGAAUUGCAGAAUUCAGUGAAUCAUCGAGUCUUUGAACGCACAUUGCGCCCCCUGGUAUUCCGGGGGGCAUGCCUGUCCGAGCGUCAUUGCUGCCCUCAAGCACGGCUUGUGUGUUGGGCCCCCGUCCCCCUCUCCCGGGGGACGGGCCCGAAAGGCAGCGGCGGCACCGCGUCCGGUCCUCGAGCGUAUGGGGCUUUGUCACCUGCUCUGUAGGCCCGGCCGGCGCCAGCCGACACCCAACUUUAUUUUUCUAAGGUUGACCUCGGAUCAGGUAGGGAUACCCGCUGAACUUAAGCAUAUCAAUAAGCGGAGGAAA